AGUGAACGCUGGCGGCAGGCCUAAUACAUGCAAGUCGAGCGGCAGCGCGGGGCAACCUGGCGGCGAGCGGCGAACGGGUGAGUAAUACAUCGGAACGUGCCCAGACGUUGGGGAUAACUACUCGAAAGAGUAGCUAAUACCGCAUAUGAUCGAAGGAUGAAAGCGGGGGCUCGCAAGAUCUCGCGCGUUUGGAGCGGCCGAUGGGGGAUUAGGUAGUUGGUGGGGUACAGGCUUACCAAGCCUGCGAUCUGUAGCUGGUCUGAGAGGACGACCAGCCACACUGGGACUGAGACACGGCCCAGACUCCUACGGGAGGCAGCAGUGGGGAAUUUUGGACAAUGGGCGAAAGCCUGAUCCAGCCAUUCCGCGUGCAGGAUGAAGGCCCUCGGGUUGUAAACUGCUUUUGUACAGAACGAAAAAGCUCUGGUUAAUACCUGGAGUCCAUGACGGUACUGUAAGAAUAAGCACCGGCUAACUACGUGCCAGCAGCCGCCGUAA
RNAcentral lists this ribosomal RNA (498 nucleotides) under uncultured bacterium. RNAcentral's name for it is "partial 16S ribosomal RNA". It matches the Rfam family "Bacterial small subunit ribosomal RNA", at positions 29 to 523 of the family's 1533-position model. The record is from RNAcentral.